RNAcentral lists this microRNA (17 nucleotides) under Homo sapiens (human). Its description in RNAcentral is "hsa-miR-4483". Lineage: Eukaryota; Metazoa; Chordata; Mammalia; Primates; Hominidae. The record is from miRBase by way of RNAcentral.
GGGGUGGUCUGUUGUUG